CAGUCAGGGGAAUGAUGUACUACUACAAGGCUCUCAAGAUGCUUACUUUUCUUGAUUCUGCUUCUGAGAUUGACAUUAGGG
Small nucleolar RNA from Dendrobium catenatum, 81 nucleotides. RefSeq annotates it as small nucleolar RNA J33. Lineage: Eukaryota; Viridiplantae; Streptophyta; Magnoliopsida; Asparagales; Orchidaceae. The transcript has a single exon. The record is from RefSeq and is a predicted model, not a curated record.